UACGUAGGUCCCGAGCGUUGUCCGGAUUUAUUGGGCGUAAAGCGCGCGUAGGCGGCCGCCUAAGCGGAACCUCUAACCCCGGGGCUCAACCUCGGGCCGGGUUCCGGACUGGGCGGCUCGAGUGCGGUAGAGGAGAGCGGAAUUCCCGGUGUAGCGGUGGAAUGCGCAGAUAUCGGGAAGAACACCGAUGGCGAAGGCAGCUCUCUGGGCCGUCACUGACGCUGAGGCGCGAAAGCUGGGGGAGCGAACAGG
RNAcentral lists this ribosomal RNA (252 nucleotides) under uncultured bacterium. RNAcentral's name for it is "partial 16S ribosomal RNA". It matches the Rfam family "Bacterial small subunit ribosomal RNA", at positions 524 to 776 of the family's 1533-position model. The record is from RNAcentral.